RNAcentral lists this ribosomal RNA (450 nucleotides) under uncultured bacterium. RNAcentral describes it as "bacterial SSU rRNA". It matches the Rfam family "Bacterial small subunit ribosomal RNA", at positions 354 to 796 of the family's 1533-position model. The record is from RNAcentral.
GUGGGGAAUUUUGGACAAUGGGCGAAAGCCUGAUCCAGCCAUGCCGCGUGCAGGAUGAAGGCCUUCGGGUUGUAAACUGCUUUUGUACGGAACGAAAAGACUCCUUCUAAUAAAGGGGGUCCAUGACGGUACCGUAAGAAUAAGCACCGGCUAACUACGUGCCAGCAGCCGCGGUAAUACGUAGGGUGCAAGCGUUAAUCGGAAUUACUGGGCGUAAAGCGUGCGCAGGCGGUUUUGUAAGACAGGUGUGAAAUCCCCGGGCUCAACCUGGGUACUGCACUUGUGACUGCAAGGCUAGAGUGUGUCAGAGGGAGGUGGAAUUCCGCGUGUAGCAGUGAAAUGCGUAGAGAUGCGGAGGAACACCGAUGGCGAAGGCAGCCUCCUGGGAUAACACUGACACUGAGGUGCGAAAGCAUGGGGAGCAAACAGGAUUAGAUACCCCUGUAGUCC